GCGAACUCAGUAAUGGCUGUAACUAAAUCCGCCAAGCCGUUCCCUUCAGCUCUCCUCCUCGUUGCUCUCGUUCUUAUCAUCUCCGCAGGUGAAGAAGCUUUGUCUUCUCUCUCUCUCUCUAUAUAUAUAUAUAAUAUGAUCUGUUUAACUCUUUUUCUGCUGUGUACGUAGAUAUGGAGGUGGCUGCGAAACCGAUCGUGUCCUGCGGCCCCAUGCCGUAUUGCACCAAUGACAAGUGCACAGUCUACUGUGGACGACAAGGGUAUUGUCAAGCGGGGCCCCAGCCAACGUACCUUUACUGUUGCUGUCAGGGUUGACCAGUUACUAGUAGUCUUCGACAUCCAUGAACAAGACGACAAAGAACAUCCUCUGUAUCUGUUUCUUGUCUCCGGAAUAAGCUUCUCAUAGAAUCAGAAAUAAGUUUCUCAAGGUUGAUGUUCUGUAUGACUUUUC
Molecule: long non-coding RNA, 453 nt
Filed under: Musa acuminata (dwarf banana)
Lineage: Eukaryota; Viridiplantae; Streptophyta; Magnoliopsida; Zingiberales; Musaceae
Description: long non-coding RNA (MACU_LNC003795)
Source: RNAcentral